Molecule: ribosomal RNA, 1089 nt
Filed under: Triticum aestivum (bread wheat)
Lineage: Eukaryota; Viridiplantae; Streptophyta; Magnoliopsida; Poales; Poaceae
Description: partial small subunit ribosomal RNA
Source: RNAcentral
AUGUCCACGAAGGAAACAAGGCUUAAAGAAGUUAAUUCUGUUGGGAUGAAAGAUUGGGCUAAUAUUCAGACUGAUAUUGUUGGUCUAAUUAUAAAGAAGCUUGGCAUUCCUGACUACAUCAGAUUCCGUGCUGUAUGCACGUCAUGGAACCAUAUCUGCAAGGAAGUAUCCAACCAUCCACGGGUGGACCCAUGGCUGAUGCUCCCCACAAAGGCGCUUGAAGGUGCUAAAUUUUUUAGGUUACCUGAAAAAAAGAGUCAAACCAUCCAUAUCCCGAGUGUUGCCACGAUCUUUGGAUCCAUGUGGACUCCGGUUGGUUCAUCCCAUGGCUGGCUUAUCUUCUUUAGCCCGCCACAGGGAACCAUCCAGCUGGUUAAUCCCAUCAGCAGCACAUCGUUCCAACUCCCCUCAAUCGGAAGGAAGCACCUGUCCAAGGCCAUGUUGCUUGACAUGAGUGAGAGCAACUUCACUGUUGCUGUCAUCCAUCGCGACCAAAAAGGAUACCAAGUGACACGCAAAGGAAGUAAAAGCUGGUCGUUUGUCGAUUCAAAACACAUUUUGGUGGAUGUCUUCAAGCACCGAAGGCAACUUUACACCAUUGAUGUAUAUGGCACGGUCGAGGUGUGGGCAGAGCCUCCCCGUUCAUGGCCAGAUGAUGACUUCCCCCAGGUGGAACCGCAUAUGCACAACCUCGUCCACUACCAACACCAGAAGUUCAACUGUCUGGUGGAGACCCCGUCCGGACACCUCAUAAGGGUCAAGCGCCAGUCGCAGAACAAGUUUGCGCUGUGGGUCCUCGACAGGGAGACCUCUUCCUUCGAGCGGACCAGCGACAUUGGGGAAUUCGGGCUGUUCGUCAGCCACUACAGCUCGUUCUGUUUCCCGGCCAAGGACCAUCCGUACCUGAAGGCAAACUGCGUCUACUUCAUCGACGGCUACAACAACAUGUGCGCGUUCAACCUUGAGCAUGGGACCAAGGAGCUCGUAGAAGCCCUCGAAACCGCUGCCCCUGCUCAGAGUCAGCAAGACUUUUACGGGCGCCAGCCUCGAGCAGAGCCGUUCCUAUGGUUAAUCCCUUCUCUGAAGUGA